Molecule: long non-coding RNA, 3656 nt
Organism: Zalophus californianus (California sea lion)
Lineage: Eukaryota; Metazoa; Chordata; Mammalia; Carnivora; Otariidae
Exons: 3
Source: RefSeq, a predicted model, not a curated record
GAGCGGCUGGAGCUCUGAUGUAUUGCUGUUACAGAGCCUGUGCCUGAGACCCUCCGUGACUGCUGUCUGCCAGGCCACAUAUUUUGUGCUGCACAGGGGGACAGUCAAACCAGGCACUGUGCUUGUCACCCUGGAUAAAGCCUUUCAGUGACAACCCAACUGAUACAGGACAAGCAGAGUAAAAUAUUUGAUAAUGAGGAUCAGAAUUGGGAACAGGGGGGAAUAAACCACCCCGAAGACACAAGGUGACCCGUCUCAGUGGGAUGACCUAGUGCACAAGCCAGCUAAUGAUGCCCGUCUGUCAGCUGGGCCCCGGGAGCCAGAGCCCGAGGGAGAGGACACCAGCCCUGACAGAUGGCGGCGGCUUUGCUGAUUAUAAAGCUCAGCUGGACCAAGGCUCUAUUUCAUUCCCAGCACCAAGGUCCCGUCUGAACAUGGGCUGUUUACUUAAAACAUAUUCAUUCCUGUUUCUGUUCAUCAGAUUCUGAGGAUAAAAAUGAACAUGAGCAGCUGUUGGAUUUUUGCUGCUAACUAUUCAAUUCUGCUUUGUGUUAAGGAAACUCACAAUCCAUUUUACCCCGUAAUCAUUCUUUAUGAGCGAAAAAUCAAAUCGGAAGUGGCAAAAGAGAAUGGACGCUAGGGAAAAAAAAUUCAAAUAGGCACUGCCUUUGGUUGAUGCUCUUUCCCUGCAUGGGAAAUUCAGACUUUUGUAUUAUCCCACUAAAAAAAGAAGCAGCACCAAAUUCAGCAAGCUGAUGUUUUCAAGCACAAAACAAUGUCGAACCAGGAGCUCUGCUCUUACUCUGCCUUCUGCCUAAGAGAUCUCGGCUUUCCUUCUAGGAGUAAUGAAGAAGUGGCUUCAGGACAUUAUGCCUCCCAAGUCACUGAACUUCAGACCCAGUCACAUAUAGACAUUUAAGACGAGAGGGAGUAAAUGCCCAGCGCUGCUAUGACAGAAGGGUCCUGAGGAAGAAAAGCAGCGCUUGGAAAAGAUCACCACCCUCUGCCACCCGAAACCUCAGGGAGGAAAAAUGUUAUUCCAGGCGGCAGCUGUGAAUUACAACAUGCCCAAGAACUUGCACAGGCCCCUUCAGGCCAGGUCUUAUGCUAUUUGGAAAAGUGACAAGGGGUUAUAUUUUCACACCCAGCUGUUGCUUUAUGACUUCGUAGGCAAGGAGUUGUAGAGGUCUCUCUAGCUCCCCAACGCUGACUUAUUUAGAACUCCUGUGGGAAGGAGAUCAGGGCUGCACACAGUGGCUGAUGGAGGAAGGGCGAUGUGGCAGGUGUUCUUAAGCAGACACAUAUUCUGGAACAAGUUGCGUGAGGUAGGGUAUGAGACAUAGUCUCAUUAGCCAAGGCGAGGCUCUGUAAUCCUGUUGGCCAGCUGUCUUGGGAGCCUCACAAGGCUGCUCCUUUUUGGCAUAGCCUUAGGAAAACAGCCCCUCCAUUUUUAAUGAAUGCAGCAGGAAAGGCAUGGGUACAGAGAGGAGGAAACUGCUCUCUGACUUCUUUUCCUGAUUAUCAUCUAGGACAGGCUUUGGUAAAUGACAAAUGCUCAACAAAAUACUGUGCCUGAGAGAAGAGCCUGCAUAGGGAAUCUGGAAAUUCGUAUUUUAUUCUCGAGUCUGCCACCAACUGGGUGACUUUGAAAGAGUGACUUGAUUGCUCUGGACUUCAAUUUUUGCAAGGAAUGAAUUGCAAUAGGUAAUGUCCACUGUGCCCUGAGGUCAGUUUGCCUUUUCUGAUUCUUUGAUUUAUCAAUAACAAGGUUUGCAACUAGCAGAUCAGGAGUUAAUAAUCCAUCUCUGAGCACUAUGGAUUCAUUCAAGAAUUAAUGGGUCAGGAACCUGUAAUUCUGAUGACCUAUCCAGUUUGGGGAACAACGAACUAGCUCUCCACUACGAUGAGAUGGUUUCAGAUCUCCAGCACCCUUCGCCAGUGCAAGGGCAUCUAGAGAGCCAGGAUAGUAGAAAUUCUACUUUUCUCUCAGCAUCAAUAGCAUGACAGGGACCUAGUCAGCACCAUCCAAUAGAACAUUCCACCAUGAUGGAAAUGUUCAACAUCUGUACUGUCCUGUACAGUAGCCACUUCUCAUAUGUGUUCACUGGUCACUUAAAUUGCAGGUGAUGUAACUAGGAACUGAAUUUUAAAUUUUGUUUCAUUUUAAUUAUUUUAAAUUUAAGUAGUCACAUGUGGCUGGUAGCUACCAAAAUGGACAGCAUAAAUCCUACUACAUUCUGCUGUAAUAAACUCACAAGUGGUAUGCUGUGGGGAAAUGAAAAAACAGACCUUAUUCUACUCCCAUUUCCACAUUUCUGGGUAGUAUGGGGCAAGGGACAAGACUCUGUGACUCCAUUUCCUUUUCUCUCCAAUUAAGAUGGUAAUACCUACUUCACAGUAUUGCUCCGAAGGUUUACUUACGCUGGAUACACGAACUGCCUUUGAGAAUCAUAAAAUGCUAUCUAUAAAAGCAAGGUAUAAUGGGGAUCAUUCACUGCUGAAAGAGGAUCUUGUUUCACUGCAAAACACAAUGAUGUCUGAGAACAUGUGACUAAAUUUGAGAAGAGGUUGGUAAUACCAGAUGGGAGAGAUUGAAAAUAAAGUGGAAAAACCAAAAAGUAAGGGUUAAAGAAGGUGGAGGAGAAGGGAGGGGAUGGAGAUGAUGGAUUUGGGAAAGUCAAGACGUGUGAUAUAAGGGCGAUAGUGAGAAGGCAAAGGCAGACCUGGCUUUUGGGAAGAUACUUUGGGGUUGAGAACUCCUGAUGACAGGAGCAAAGACCAAUGCCCAUCCUGAGCUGCACGGAACUAGAAAAUCACUGACUGGAAUUAGGGUACAUUUUCUCCCCUUACAUGACGGCCUCAGAGAAAAAAGUCUGGGGGGAUUUGAGCAACAGCUACAUAGGCCAAGAGAGUUGAUGCAGAAGAACAUGUUCAACAGUAAUGUUCGGGGCAGAAGGGGGUUGACAACACUGGAUUGUUUGGGAUGAACCUAUAAGCCUCUUUAUAUUUAAAGCAAAUCUGGAAUAAAAGCAUAUACUCUAGUAAAGACCAAGAAAGAAUUGUUUGAUAAAGAGUUGCUGCAACCCUACCGGAAUCAUAAAAUGUGUAGCGUGUUGCAGUGAAGGGUAAUGAUGCUGGGCUUGGCUUGGCACCAUGGCCCCCCUGCUCAGGACAGAAAGAAUAAUGGGUGAGAGACAACAGGAGUUAAACAUCCUAGAGUCCCCUAGCACUUACAAAAGUGCUCAAAGUGGCCAUUUGGCAUCCAUCUCAUUGAAUUUUUCUGUCUUUUUAUCUCAGUCCCUAAUAAGCAUUACUUCCAGAGAAUGCCUGGGUUCAAAUCCAAGCACUCCCAUGUAAUCACUGUGACCCUGGGCUGGAAACAAACUCUCUAAACCACACAACCCUCAUCGCGAGAGUGUAAUAGUACUUGCCUCAGAGGAGUAUAUAUAGUCCUUAUGUGCAAACUAGCACAGUCUCUGAGCACUCAGAAACCACUCAAAUAUGUAAGUAAUUUUUAUUAAAUACUAGAUUAUGUGUCUCAAACUUCCAAACAUAUCACUGGGGAAAAAAUAGCCUUUAACUGGAUCAAAUUAAACAUUACAACCAGAAACAUGGCUUUCUAUGAAUCAAUGCUUUUAGUUUUAUUUUUGUAAACA